Long non-coding RNA from Bos taurus (domestic cattle), 1184 nucleotides. Lineage: Eukaryota; Metazoa; Chordata; Mammalia; Artiodactyla; Bovidae. The record is from Ensembl.
CUACCUGAUAUUUAAUGAGGUUCUGCAUAGUCAGGCCACUCAAAUGGCUGUUGUCUUGCUCUGUGUACACCCCCUGGCCCACCAGAGCCUGCUUCACCCUGCAAAGAGCUGACCUUCUAGGAAGGUACUUGCCCCAGGUCCCAGCUGGUGAUUGUUCUCAUCAAAGGGACGGUGAGGGGCGUGCCCUCUACUGGUUUCCCUGGUAACUAGUGAGCCUGCUGCUGCUGCUAAGUCGCUUCAGUCGUGUCCGACUCUGCGACCCCAUAGACAGCAGCCCACCAGGAUCCCCUAUCCCUGGGAUUCUCCAGGCAAGAUCACUGGAGUGGGUUGCCAUUUCCUUCUCCAGUGCAUGAAAAUGAUAAGUGAAAGUGAAGUCGCUCAGUCGUGUCUGACUCUUAGCAACCCCAGGGACUGCAGCCCACCAGGCUCCUCCGUCCAUGGGAUUUUCCAGGAGCGAAGACUGCCUGCGGUCCUGUCCUGCCCGCCGUCUGCUGCAAGCUCUGGGGUGUCCUCCAGGACCUUGCUUCAGACAGUCACUGUUGCUGCUGCUGCUGCUAAGUCGCUUCAGUCGUGUCUGACUCUGUGCGAUCCCAUAGAGGGCAGCCCACCAGGCUCCCCUGUCCCUGGGAUUCUCCAGGCAAGAACACUGGAGUGGCUUUCCAUUUCCUUCUCCAAUGGAUGAAAGUGAAAAGUGAAAGUGAAGUCGCUCAGUCAUGUCGGACUAUUAUCGACCCCAUGGAGUGCAGCCUACCAGGCUCCUGCGUCCAUGGGAUUUUCCAGGCAAGAGUACUGGAGUGGGGUGCCAUUGCCUUCUCCAUCAGUCACUGUUAUGUCUGACUAAAUAUUUUCACCAAACUCUGAUACUACUCUUGGGGAAAAAAAAAGUUUAAAACUCUCUUAAUGUGUUAGAAGCUCCUUCACCAAAGGAUGAUAAUAAACUAUGAUGUUAACAGUCUGAGCAAAUCCUUUGUCAUCUGUGAAGUCAUUAUGCUGAGCAAUAGCUGACAUAAUGAACCACUUACUUGUAAUGGCAUGUAUGUUUUUUAAAGCAAACUCUCCCCAACUAAGGCCAACUAAUGGGUAUGUGUCCAAAAAAGUAUGUUUCAGAAGCAAAAUCUCACAUGCUUAUUUUUUCCUCCUCUGGACCUUGUUUUUACAUUGAGGAAUGAGCUAUUGUGCUAAUU